Molecule: transfer RNA, 79 nt
Filed under: Streptococcus salivarius SK126
Lineage: Bacteria; Bacillati; Bacillota; Bacilli; Lactobacillales; Streptococcaceae
Description: tRNA-Met
Rfam family: tRNA
About the family: Transfer RNA (tRNA) molecules are approximately 80 nucleotides in length.
Source: RNAcentral
UGGACCUUUAGCUCAACUGGUUAGAGCACUCGGCUCAUAACCGAGCGGUCGUAGGUUCGAGUCCUACAAGGUCCAUAUA